RNAcentral lists this ribosomal RNA (481 nucleotides) under uncultured bacterium. RNAcentral's name for it is "partial 16S ribosomal RNA". It matches the Rfam family "Bacterial small subunit ribosomal RNA", at positions 28 to 523 of the family's 1533-position model. The record is from RNAcentral.
GACGAACGCUGGCGGCGUGCUUAACACAUGCAAGUCGAACGAUGAAGGAGAGCUUGCUCUCCGGAUUAGUGGCGAACGGGUGAGUAACACGUGACUACCCUGCCCCUUUCUCUGGGAUAACGCUCCGAAAGGAGUGCUAAUACCGGAUAGGAACUCUGAACACAUGUUAGGAGUUGGAAAGUUGUUCGGAAAGGGAUGGAGUCGCGGCCUAUCAGCUUGUUGGUGAGGUAACGGCUCACCAAGGCGACGACGGGUAGCCGGCCUGAGAGGGCGACCGGCCACACUGGGACUGAGACACGGCCCAGACUCCUACGGGAGGCAGCAGUGGGGAAUAUUGCACAAUGGGCGAAAGCCUGAUGCAGCGACGCCGCGUGAGGGAUGAAGGUCUUCGGAUUGUAAACCUCUUUCAGUAGGGACGAAGCGAAAGUGACGGUACCUAAAGAAGAAGCACCGGCUAACUACGUGCCAGCCGCCGCGGUAA